Molecule: ribosomal RNA, 550 nt
Filed under: uncultured bacterium
Lineage: Bacteria
Description: bacterial SSU rRNA
Rfam family: Bacterial small subunit ribosomal RNA
Source: RNAcentral
UGGGGAAUUUUGGACAAUGGGCGCAAGCCUGAUCCAGCCAUGCCGCGUGUCUGAAGAAGGCCUUCGGGUUGUAAAGGACUUUUGUCAGGGAAGAAAAGGCUGUUGCUAAUACCGACAGCUGAUGACGGUACCUGAAGAAUAAGCACCGGCUAACUACGUGCCAGCAGCCGCGGUAAUACGUAGGGUGCGAGCGUUAAUCGGAAUUACUGGGCGUAAAGCGAGCGCAGACGGUUACUUAAGCAGGAUGUGAAAUCCCCGGGCUCAACCUGGGAACUGCGUUCUGAACUGGGUGACUAGAGUGUGUCAGAGGGAGGUAGAAUUCCACGUGUAGCAGUGAAAUGCGUAGAGAUGUGGAGGAAUACCGAUGGCGAAGGCAGCCUCCUGGGAUAACACUGACGUUCAUGCUCGAAAGCGUGGGUAGCAAACAGGAUUAGAUAUCCUGGUAGUCCACGCCCUAAACGAUGUCAAUUAGCUGUUGGGCAACUUGAUUGCUUAGUAGCGUAGCUAACGCGUGAAAUUGACCGCCUGGGGAGUACGGUCGCAAGAUUAA